This 9137-nucleotide long non-coding RNA is filed under the name Lynx pardinus (Iberian lynx). The record is from RNAcentral. Lineage: Eukaryota; Metazoa; Chordata; Mammalia; Carnivora; Felidae.
UUGAUUUUCCAAAUAUAUUACAAUGAUAAAGUGACCAGUUAAUGUAUAAGCUCUUUGUGAAAGGUGGUGCCUACAGAUGGUCGACUGAUAGGAAACGGUAAAUGUGCAAACUGCUCAUUUCCCUUGAGAUUGGAGCCAUAAAAUGAUCUCAAUAAGAUAUGAGAAGAAAAUCUCUCUUUAACCCUUUUCUUAGCUGCAAUCCAAAUAUGGGGCUGUGUUUAGCUGUCUGGUGUGUCUCUUUCUCUGCUCCUCCCAGACUCCCACCUUUCCCCUGAUAACAAGUGAAGGGGGAAUAUCCGGAUAUGCAGACCUUGUGGUAUCCCUGACUCUACCUUGGGGCAAAGAGGCAAGGUAAGGUUCCAGUCAAAAGAGAAAGAUGAUCUAUAAAACAAGCAAAAGACCAAAAUUCAUGUGCCCCUUGCAUUCUCUAACUUGGUACUUUCUCCUUGAGCCUGGGCUUCUUCCAGAGGAAGUGACUGACCCCAGAUGUGAUGGCUGGGGAGCAAGAUGAAUGGAGCAGCCUCCUAGCAUUUAAACUAUAAAAUUCUGUGGAGAAAUGAUUAAAAAAGAGGUUUCUGAAGGAGAAGGAGAAAUCUCUCUCCUUGACUCCCUUUGGCACAAGUAGGGUUGGGGGAUGGGGGAGGGGAUAGGGGGAGGAGAUAGGGGGAGGGGAGAGGAGGAGGAGACAGGACGCCAGGAACUCAUGAAAAUGGUGACAAUCACAAGGAGGCAGGGAUGACCUCUUUCCCCAUUUCAUACCCCAUCCUAUUCAUCUCUCUGAACCCCAUUCAGAGACUAUCUCUUUCAAGAGAUCUUCCUUAACUCUCUGUGCAUUCCAGCAGCAUUCACCUACAGUGUGGGCCAAUCAAUAGUCACUGAUUUCUGGGAGGUGGGAAAGGGGCUACAUGAGGAUGAGGGGUGUCCUUUAUUUUUUAAAAAGUUUUUAUUUAUCAUUUUUUUUCAGAGAGAGAGAAAGAGAAAGAGAGAGGGGGGAGAAAGCGUGGAGAGAGGAGAGGCAGAAAGGGAGGGAGAGAGGGAGAAUUCCAAGCAGGCUCUGUGCUGUCAGGGCAGAGCCUGAUUGAUGUGGGGCUCAAUCUCAUGAGAUCAUGACUCGAACAGAAAUCAAGAAUUGGACAUUUAACCAACUGAGCCAUCCAAGCAUCCUGAGGGGUGUCCUUUAAAGUGGUCAUUCCAAGAACUGAAAUUCGUUGCAACACUGUUGCUGUGCUCCAAAUAUGGUUGAAAAUCUUUGAGAACUGCCUUUCAUGUUUGUUUUAGUCAGCUUGCACUGCUAUAACAAAAUACCAUACACCUUAGGUGGCUUGGAUAACAGACAAUUAUUUACCAUAGUUCCACAGGAUUAAAGUCUGAGAUCAGGGUACCAGCAUGGUUGGGUUCUUGGUGAGGAUUCUUUUCUUGGCUUGUAGAUGGCCACUUUAUUGCUAUGUCCUCAUAGGGCAGAGAGAGAACUCUGAGUCUCUUCCUCUUCUUAUAAUAACACUAAUCCCAUCGGGGGCCUCUACCACCUAAUGGCUCUUCCUCCUAAUACCAUCAUACUGGGGAUUAGGGCUUCAGCACAUAAAUAUGGGGGUGGGGGCACAAACAUUCCAUCCAUAAUAAUGUUUUUAUGAACAUCUUCAAUGGGAGAAAAGUCAUGUUAAUAAUAAUCACUCUCCUCUGAGUAUGAGUGACGUAUGCAAAUAGUUUCAUGUUCAUUAUCUCAUGUUAUCCCCAUAGUACAGUAAGAAGUAAAUAUCAUUAGCCAAUUACAACUGAGAACACAAAGGUUCAGAGUUCAGUAGCUUGCCUAAGGCCACAUAGCUGGUAAGUAGCAUACCCUAGAUUUGAACUGAGUGACUCCAAAGCCAAGACAUUGAUGAGUAUGCAUACUGCUCUGUCUUUUGAAGGUAGACUAAAGUCUGGGAAAUAACUAGUGUUUAAUGUCUGAAUGUGUUUACCUUCUCAUAUAAUUUAUAUCACCAAUGGAACUUCUCUGGGCAUUUUUUUUUUUAGCUCAAAGGGAAUUCUUUUUUUUCCCAAAGGGAAUUCUAAGAGUAGGAGUUUUAAGCAUUCUACUUCUCAGUGGCAUGAUGCCUGGGGAGAGAAGGGCAUCGACCUUCUGAAAUCAUGCCUUAAAGGCAACUGCCUAAGUGCCUUCUGUGGUACACACAUAGGGCCAACUUCAUUCUCAUCUAGCCUAAUCUGUAGCUCCUUGGGCCAUAAAGUGUAACUAGUGUUCACACUUAUUAUCUCCUUCUGUCUUCCCACUAUCCCCAGGCACUAGAUUGGUAUUAUUAAUAUUUUCAUUUUAGAGAUGAGAAAACUGAAGCACAGACAGGUUGAGCAACUUCCCUAAGUUUACACAGCAAAUGAGGGAAAGACCUAGGGCUCAUAUGUAGGAAUCUCUGUUUUUAUCAAUGAAAACUCAAUGAACAGAUGGAUGGUACAUCACAAAUGUUUCUCAUGUCCUAUCAAAAAUGAUGUCAAUUUGACAGAAAGAGUGAAAAUUCAUCUGUACAUUUUUUCCCUUACCUACAAGGUUCCCAUCCAUUAUUCAUGCAUUCCUUCAUUGUUCCUGUCACUCACUGAUUAAUUAAUUUAAUAAAUACUUUCGAAGCACAUUACUUGGUGCCAGCUACUGUCCUAGGUACUGGCUAUCUAAUCUAAAUUUACAAAAGGAAAUUGAACCAAUGGGCUGUUAACUGAAUUGACAAAGUGAUCCAAUUACUUUGGUGUUGGUGGAGACUUCGUUAGAGACCCCUCCAUAUUCUCAAUCUCCCAGAGGCUCCAGGAGAGAUGUGGGGUCUUCAAAAGAACUGCAGACGCACAACUACCUGUGAGCUUCGCCACUGGCUCCCACUUUUGAAAAGAUGACUGCGUGAUUUCUGAUUACAGCCAUUAGGCAAAAUAAAACACAGAGAACGCUGGCUCACCAGUUUCAUCCUGCUUAAUCAAAUAGCCUCAUUCAUCAUAUUCACUCACACUAUUCAGGGAAAGUGCUUUUCCGUACUUCAAAGAUGGGCAUGAGCAAGCCUGAUCUGUACUUCCCAUUUUGCUCUCCUUCCUUUUUAAAUACAAGCAGAUGAUCUUUCCUUUUUUUUUUCUCCCUUCCAAUUCCUGAUUGAGAGGCACAGCCUCAGCACAGCAGCAGUCCAGCCAGGAAGAAAUCUAAGCUGAGGACAAUAUUAUCCCUCAUGACACUCAUAAUUCAGCAGGAUUUCUUUCUAACUGACUUUGGGGCUGGGCCUGAGCAGGGACCAGAAUAUCAUAGAAUGUCGGGCUAGCAGCAUCCACAGAGAGAACACAUUCUGGCCACUCAUGUUACAGAUGAGGCCAGAGAGGGGAAGAAGCUUGUCCAAGGUCACACAGCAAGGUUGUUGCAGAGCAGGGGGCACCAGUUCCCAAAUUGGCAAUUCCCAAGCUAGUGCCCUCAACUGUCUUAUCACCAUGACUAUUGCUAAUACCACAGGAAACCCCAAACAGGGGCUUGGGUUCUUCAGCACCUUCCCUAAUCCUACAUUCAGGUAAAUUGCUGAUGGUUUCACACAGGAACCAAACCUUCUUUGUUUAUGAUAGAGGCCAAUUUGCAAAAUUGGUGAUAUUCACUCUAUUGUGCUUCUACAUCCUUCCUCUGGGUUCCUUUGCCAUUUCUGGGUGACUCAUUCUCUAGGCACAUUCCCCUAGAAUUUCAUACUGCUAACCAGGUUUUCUCCACAGAACCCAGGCUCUGGAAAGACCCCUUCCUCCUCCUUCCUUAGUCCUAGGUUUCAAGUAAAGAGGAAUGCUUUACACUCUCAUUUGAAUUGAGAUCUUACUGGUUAGCAACUAAUCUGGGAUGAAUCUCAAGGUUAAAUUUCAAGGGGUUUAGAUUUUAGAAAAAAGAUUUUUUUUAUAUAUUUUGCAAAAGGUGUGCAUAUAUAACUGUCCAUUUGCCAGUAUGGCUGGCCUAUAUAUUGUUUUUAAUUUUUUUUUUUUUUACCAUUUAUUUAUUUUUGAGAGAGAGAGAGAGAGAGAAGGGGAGGGGCAGAGAGAGAAAGACACAGAAUCUGAAGCAGGCUCCAGGCUCUGUCAGCUGAGAGCUGUCAGCACAGAGCUCGAUGUGGGGCUUGAACUCACAAGCUGUGAGAUCAUGACCUGAGACAAAGUUGGAUGCUUAACCAACUGAGCCACCCAGGUGCCCCGACUGGCUCAUAUACUGACAUUGUAUGGACGUAGCCUAAAACUUCCUAUAGCCUAGCACCUCCCCACCUCCCAGGCACACACACAUCCUGGGUAACUUAGAUGAUGUGAUUGAUGUAUAUGGGAGGUGAUUUUUUCCCUGUCAUCUGGCCUAGCUAAAAAUAAAUCUUUUGUAAAUCAAUGUUUAGCAAAAAAAAAUAAAUAAGUAUCAAUGAAAUAGCUUCCUUUAUCGAAUGCUUAUUUUGUAAUGGAGAUUCUGUUAAGAACCUUAUACAUAUAUGUCAUACUUUUUAAUUCUUACAACAACUGUGUUAGGAGUUGAACUGUAUCUCCUCCACCUCCACCCAAUUCAAUAUGCUAAAGUCUAACCUGUAAUACCUCACAAUGUGACUUAUUUGGAAGUAAAGUUACUGCAGAUGCAAUUUGUUAAGAUGAAUUCAAACUGAAAUGGAGUGGACUUCUAGUCCAAUAUGACUGUUAUCCUUAUAAAAAAAGGGGAAAUUUGGCCACAGAGACAGACACACGGAUGGAAUGUGAUGUGAAGAUGAAGAGAGAGAUUUGGGUGAUGCUUCUACAUCAAAAGACUGCCACAGAUCACCAGCACAUGACCAGGAGCAAGGAGAGAGGCAUGGAACAGAGUGCUCUUCACAGCCUCAGAAGGAACCAAUCCUGCUGACCCUUUGAUCUCAGACUUCUGGACUCCUGAACUGUGAGAUAAUAAGGAUCUCUUGAAGCCACCUGGUCUGUGGAACUUUGUUAUGGUGGCCCUAACAAAUGAAUAUAAAGCCUCUGUGCACUAUUUUCUUUAUUUUGCAGACAAGGAAGCAGAGGCUCAGAGAGGUUAAAUAACUUGCCUUAGAGCACACAGCUGGUAAGGAGCAGAGCCAGAAUUUAAACUUAGUACUGCAUGCUUUGUUGCUUUUAUGUGGGAAUCUGUUCUGGUAAGGAACAGAAAAGGUCAAUUUUCUCUGUAUUUCAAGCAGGAUGUGAUAAAUCUUCUUUCUCAGCCUGGCACAGGGCAGCUGGGUCUCCCAGUCCACACCCCAUCACCAACUCUGAGGUACAUCCUCUAUUUCCUCUCACAUUUUUCCCCUUCCAGCAACAGCAGAACCCCAAAUCAAUUGCCUCGGGCUAGCAUUAGAAAAAUAAAUUUUCUGGGGUGCCUGGGUGGCUCAGUCGGUUGAGUGUCUGACUUCGGUUCAGGUCAUAAUCUCGCCAUUUGUGUUUGAGCUCCACAUCGGGUUCACUGCUGUCAGCACAGAGCUGGCUUGGGAUCCUCUGUCCCCCUUUCUCUCUGCCCCUUCCCCACUGGUGCGCGCACUCUCUUUCUCUCUCAAAAAUAAACAUUAAAGAAAUAAAAAGAAAAAUAAAUUUUCUCACCCCAGUCUUCUCAUUUUAUUUGAUCUUAUUUUAAUUUUUGUUUAGCCCUGGGAAUACAUCUGAGGCCCUCAAAUACAGUGUACACUUUCAUACUGUUUCUGAGGUGGUAAAUACCAAAAUUCACCAGGAGUGGAGAGAAGGGUCAAGUUUAAAAUUAAAUGCUCCCUUAUUCCUGAUCUCUGUGGUCAAACGGCCCUCUUGCUGCCGUGUAUUCAUCCAUUCAGGCUUCAAACACACACACACACACACACACACACACACACACACCUGAAAGUUGAACUGGGCUCUUUUACCAAAGCCAAACAGACCAGCUUCCUCCAGGGCCUCCUCAUCUUACCGUCCAUCCAGCACUAAGCUCUAGUGGGCCCACCCUCAGAUGGCUUCUCCCACCAUCUUUCCUGAAGCCAAGAUCCAUGGUGGUCUUGCCUUAGCAGCUAUGGCAUUCCUGUCUCAGGGUUUUGACUGGGUGGAGAAAAGGGGAGCCCCAGGAUAGAGAAAUGGCCACCAGCUUGGAUUGGAUUCCAUUUCCAAAUCAUUUGAAUCUAGUGACCCUCAGCAGGAGGGUACUGGGAGACUUAUCCUUGGAAUUUCUGCAAGGAAGGACUUCUCAGCAUUUCCCAAGCUGAGAAAUUAUGUAAAACUAUAUUUUUUAAAGGGGACACUGUUAGUUUUCCAAUCCAUUGGCCUAGGACGUUGGUGUGACAAGGAUGCAGACAGUCUGCCAAAGUGGAGGGAGAGGGGGCAUGGUUGUCCAUCAGAAGGGACAGUCUGGGAGCAGGCAGAAGCAGGUCAGGCAGUUACAAACCAAGAGUGCAGCCUUGAGGCCAGGCAAAACAGGAGACCAGAAACAAGAAAGUAGGUCAAUACUAGAUCAAAACUGUGCAGCCCCAACAAGGCAGCCUUGCUACUCCUCAGACAGGAAGCUCUUUAUUUCCCUUGACAGAGUAGGAAUCAACACCUAAGUCCCAGGGCAACACCAGAUUGAGACCUAAGAGCUCAAAGUGUCCAUCAUUCUGAGCUUAUGGAAGAUUCUUAUCUAUGACUCAAAGUAACAAUAGCAAUGGUUUUCCUUUAUUGCACAAUGUCUCUGUGUCCUGGGUCAACUCAAGGACUUUAUCUUUGAGGUAGCUUCUAUUACUCUCCUCAUUUACAGAUGACAAAGUACAGAGGAUAACUUGCCAAACAUCACACAGCUAGUAAGAAGUAGUGCCAGCCACUCAGAUAAUUUACUCUUAGAAUUCUGUCCAUCAGAUAGGAAAGUACUUUUAAGGUUGUAGUCUUCAGACCCUGUCCUCUUGUAGGUUAACCUCCCAUUUACUAGGCUUACUAGGUUCACAUUCCCCUUAGUUGCUGAUAUGAGUAUUCUGGUGCCCAGAGAACUCUUUUAACUUCUAAUAAGCUGGAGAAGUUCUUCUCAUGAGGAGGGAAAAGAAAACCAGGUCCAGAGUUUAUGCUGAAAUCCCAGGCUACCCAAUUGCUGUUAUGGUCCUGGAGUGAGUGCCCAUAGGUGGACCUGGCCAGGGCUGGGGGUGGAUGGAGCAUUAGGAGGCAAUCACAUAGGAUUCAGAGUAUGUAUGUGAGAGCAAAAGCUAUAGAGCAAUACUUCUGGAUUUAGUCCAGGCUGUCACGAAUUAAUGGCUGACAGAAAGAAAAGAAAGACUUGGAAAAAAAAUUCUUGAAAGCUGUGUUUGCAUGGAGAGGAGCUCAGUCUGAGCUGCCUGGAGAAGGCCUAUAUUCAUGCCCCUUUGGAAGCCCUGGCCAUCCAUUUUCAUUAGUUUUAUGAUUUGAUCAACUUACAAAGGUCACUUUUUAGCUUCCUGUGAACCACAAUAUUAUGACUGGGCUUAAAUAAUGCCAAAGCGAUUCAUUGAGAAGGGAAACAUUCAGUUACACCAGUCACUGGGCACUGAAACUAGCUUUCCAAAGCUGAAUUGCUCCCUUGUAAGGCAAGGGUCUUGCUUAUGAAAACAGAGCACAGAGUCUCCAAGGACUGCUCCAUAUAGGGCAGAGCCUGGGGGAGACUGUCCAGGUAGGAAGUGUGAGCUGGCACCACUUCUCUCCCUGGAGAGUGGUGUGGUCUCUUUUCUUUGAGUUCCCCCACACUGUGACUCCUGUGCCUCUCCCACCCCUAACACUUGCUAGUGUAGACAUGGUGCCAUCUUCUUGAAAAUUCUGCACCAAGUGUAGACACAACUCUUCUGUGUUUUUCCUUAGCACAGCAGAGACCAGUCUACAAUGAUGUGGCUAAUUACAUGUAAUGAUUUCUUUGGCAUCUCUUCCUCGCUAGCCUCUAAGCAUCAUAGGAGCAAGAACUAGAUUGGCUGUUUUCAUCCCCACAUCCCGGCACCUACCACAGUGUGCGAAGCCCAUUGUAGAUGCUCCAGGAAUAGCUGCUCAUUGACAUUUUUUUUUAAAGGGAAAACCAAAAGAGAAUAUCCCAGAAAAUACAGACAGCAUGAGAAUCGGUAGUUUCUUCACUGAAUACUGCUAAACAUCAAAUCCUUUAUUCUAACCCAAGUUAACCACACAUGGGAAUCUGAAAAGCAAAUCAUAUACCUUUGCUAUUUCAACGCCAACUCUGCAAUGUCUUUCCCUGAUCUUGAGAUGCUAGAGGUCUCAGAUAACAUUGGGGUUACAUAGGGUCAUUGGGAAAAUUAAAGGAGAUACUGCACAGAAAAUGCCCAGUGCCUAGUAUGGCCAAUAAUGAACUCCGUGUGUGUCCCUCAUAGCUCUGUGCUGGGUUCUUAGCCAGGUAACUUUGUUGGCACUGGAUUACCUCUAGGCACUACAAGCUGGUCUUCUUGUCUAUUUUCGUAGCAUAGGACAGACAUGAACCUUUAAUUUAACUUUCUUCUUAGAUCAUUACUACAUUUUUACUCUUGGUUUCUAAUCUGAGGGAUGCUAUUCAUUGCUUGCUUGAGUGGAAAUGGUAUUGUUUAGCCUUCAGCAGAAUGGGUUUCCUUUAAACAGUUGCUUUGGCUAUUAUAUAUAUCAUCUUAAUCAGAGUCUUACAUAAAAAUAUCUCUUUCUUUUGUAAACACACAUGCAUGAACAUACAUGUGUGCACACACAUGGAGCCUUUGUUUAAAGUUUUACCUGACCUCUGUCAAACUAGUUUGUGUAGGGGCGCCUGGGUGGCGCAGUCGGUUAAGCGUCCGACUUCAGCCAGGUCACGAUCUCGCGGUCCGUGAGUUCGAGCCCCCGUCGGGCUCUGGGCUGAUGGCUCAGAGCCUGGAGCCUGUUUCCGAUUCUGUGUCUCCCUCUCUCUCUGCCCCUCCCCCGUUCAUGCUCUGUCUCUCUCUGUCCCAAAAAUAAAUAAACGUUGAAAAAAAUUAAAAAAAAAAAAACUAGUUUGUGUACAUACAGAUAACAGGAGGUGAAUCCUCUCGGCUGUAGGGUCAAAAAUAUUUCUUUGUGUUUUUCAGGCAGGGUUGUGGUUUCAAUAGUAAUAGAAGGGACCCCUUCCCCCAUUAGCAUAUGUUCUCCUUGACCUGCUUGAGCCAGUCAUGCAGAGAAAUGCUGAUUUGCUGCCUACUAUCACAGGAAUGAUUUUGAAGGUUUAAUUCAAGUGAUUUUAU